UCAAUUUUACUGUUUUUUUUUUCCUUUUUAAUCUUUGGAUCGAAUCAUUGCUUAGUUCUUGCUUAAUUUCUCCAUUUUAUGGUGGGUCUUUGAUUGCAGGUUUAGCUCUGCGCGAGAACUGGGAAAUUUAAUUGUGACCUCCAAUCUAAUCGACUCUGCUUUGACUAAAAUUCUUGAGCUUCAAAGAGACCAAACAGCCUUGCCUUCCCCCGUUCAAUACAGAGUUUUUUAUCCAUCUCCCAAGUGCACAAUUGUAGCUUUUGUCUCUUCACCUGACUGCACUCAAAACCCUCUUCCUGGACAAGGAGAUUUAGUUCCCUCUCCUCUCUUUGACUUCCUCUGCACCGAAGAAUACCCUUCCGUCUCCAUUAACGGAGCCGCAUUAACCCUCUUUACCUCUCUCUACGAUCAUCUCUCUGGACUAAUAGAUGAGGUCAAAAUCUGAUACUUGUUUUAAUUUACGUUAACUUUUCGUUAACAAUUGUGAGACACGAAACAGCUUGACCAUGAGAUCUCCCUCAUGGAGUCAAAACCCGUGUUGGUAUCUGUUUUUAGAUCAACUUAUAUAUAUAUAUAUAUAUAUAUAUAUAUAUCUUGUGGAUAAAAGGAAAGUUUACAAGUGAGAAUAGUGGCAUUUUUCUGACAGAUUUCACACCGUUGCUUGUUUUGCAGUUGACUGUGAUUGAAGGUCGAUUAAUCAUCACUGGGCACUCGAUGGGAGGAUCCGUUGCUUCUCUCUUCACCUUAUGCCUGCUAGAAGUCAUUAAUAUAUCAAAACCCAAAUGCCGCCCCAUUUGCAUCACCUUUGGUUCACCCCUCAUAGGCGACUUUGGCCUCCAACACUCCAAUUGGAAUUCUUUCUUCUUGCAUGUAGUGUCCAACCAAGAUCUAGUCCCCGGACUCUUCCUCCCAUCCGGCAGAUCUCCUCCCACAUCCUCCCAUUCACAAACUACUGGUUACAAGCCCUUUGGGACAUAUCUCUUGUGCUCUGAACUUGGUUGUGCUUGUUUUGACAACCCUGAUUUAAUUUUGGAAUUGCUGAAAGUCAUAUCAUCAGAGGUUGCCGGAGGAUUGCGGGAUGUUGAUUACAGGAAGAUUUUAAUAAACCUCAAGGAGAGGGCAAUCUUCAAGGGACUUCAGCAGGUGGGUGAAAGGUUUGCAGAUCCCUUGUCAGCUGGGAUCGUCAUGGACCUUGAGAUAAUUGGAUUUGAUCAAACAAAGGUAAACAGCUUUCUCCCAAUUAAUGAUGUAGUAUGGUUUACACUCAACUUCACCAAAACCUGCAACAACUGCCCUAUUUAGAUUUGCCUUCCUGUUCUUUGGGUUCUUCUAUAACUUCUCAUUUUUUAAAUUCAUGGCAGCUGUUGCGGCACAACAUUGAUAUCAACACUGUGAUAAGGAUACUGGGAGUGGAAGCCAGAAUCCUAGCCCACAAAAAUAAAGCUUCUGAUGCCAAGAAACUGAAUGACAUAAAAAUACACAUGGCCCAGCUAGAAUGGUAUAAGAAGAAAUCAAAAGAUCUGAACAAGGGUUACUACGACUGCUUCAAAAACCAGGGGUCAAAAAGGGACAUUAAAAUUGAACAGUAUAGGGGACACCUCACAAUAUACUGGAAAGACAUGGUUGCACAAGUACAGAGGAAGCCCCAGAAGGAAGGAGCAUCAUUUCGAACCAGUUGGCUCUAUCCAGGGACAACUUAUAGAAGAAUGGUUGAACCACUGGACAUUGCUGCCUUCUACAGAGAGGGUAGAACAGACUACAUAAACAAUGGAAGAUCUCCUCAUUACAAGCUGUUGCAGCAAUGGUAUGAGGAAGAUGUGAAGCCCCCAUCCAGAGAUAAGCUCGAUUCCAAGAAACUAAAGGUGUCUGGUAUCCUAACUGAGGAUUCUUUGUUUUGGGCACAUGUGGAGGAGGCUCUCUUGUCAUGCGAAUCGCUCAAGAGUGCAAACUCUACUCUUGAGCAGAGAAAAUCAUCAUGGGAUAAUCUGGUUAAGUUUGGGGAGUAUGUAAUGGAACAGAUUGGAAACUAUGCAGUGUCCCCUGAGAUUUUCUUGGGGGAAAGCAGCUUCAUGAAAUGGUGGGGAGUGUAUGAGGACUACAUAGAUGCUUCCAAUAAUUCCUAUGGGUCACCAUUGAUCAGCUUUAUGAAGAACCGUAGUUAUAGACUGUAUGGUUAGAGGGCAAUCCAGUUUGUGUAUUGUGUUUAUUGUAUUGUGAGCAUUCAAUAGAUAAAACUAGAAAGAGCGUGACCUUUUUAUGACAACUUUAGAAACCAGGGGUUAAAAGAGACAUUACAAACUGAAGUUUUUGAGAGGAAACCUCAAGAGUAUACUGGGAAGCCAUGGUGGAACAAGUAGAGAGGAAGCCUCAGAAGGAAGGAGCAAUGGUUGAACCACUUGACAUUGUUGCCUACUACAGGGAGGGUGUAAGAAACAACAUAACCGAGGGAAGAUCUGAACGUUAAACGUUGUCCAAUUAUUAUAAAUGUCUUAUACAUUACGUGUGAAAAUACCAAAAAAAAUUAUAUUCAACAUUUAUGUUUGUAUACAAGCAAUAUUUUGGAUAGUUUGAUAUAAAAAACAAAUGAAGAAAAUGAAGAAAAACAUACAAAUAUAUUUACAAUGGACAAACUUAUACAAUUAGUAUAAAUGUCUUGUAUAUUUAGUACAAAUGUCUCGUACUUUGUAAAAAUAUAAAAAUAUAGUAUUUGACUUUUAUAUAUGUGUGAAAAUGUAAAAAGAAAAAGAAAAAUAGUUAGAGCAUUUGGUACCGUGAGUGAUGACUUCACCUAAAGAAAGGUUAAUGAAUAUUAUGGUCUCGAUGGAAGAGCGACUCCGGUAAAAUAUAUGGAUUAAAUUGAUGCUUUUCUUUUGACGAUGAAGUAGUUGAGUUAUGAAUACGAGGUUUUGCUAACAGCAUUGAAGGCAAGGAUUCCCUAAUAUACUCCAAUUCAUAUUCAAUUUGUAGACCUUCAACUAACUACUCUUGCUAACGAGCAUAUCCAAGUCAAUACAUAAGAUUAAUUAAGAUUAAGUAUUACGUAUGAUAAUUGAAACCCUAUUUAAAUAAAUAAUGACACAUAUAUAAAAAAUAUAUAUAUUUUUAAAAAAAUAAAUAACAAUUUAGAGAAUUUCAUAACUUAGCAUCAAACCUAUUGUAAGAAAGAGUAUUAUACAAUGUAGGGUUUAGGAUCCAAGUCAACCUAAGAUCAAAUUUAAGUUUUAAGAUCAAUUCACAUUCAAAACUAAGGUUUUAAGUUUCAAAAAUAUAUUUCUUAAACCAAUUAAAUGGAAAAAAGAAAAUUACAAAGAAAAUUUCUCCCUCAUCAGUUUCUUUUAUCUUGAAAACUAAAGGAAAUAUAUAUCAAUAUUUGAGAUGGAAAUUCAUAAUCUUAGGUGGUGUUUGUUUUUUUGGCUUUUUGCUGAAAACUAUUUAGUUUUAGAAUUUAGGUUUUUUUUUUUUUUUACUUUUUCAUGACUUAUAAUAAACUUUUUACUAAAUAGAAAAAACCAAAAUAUGUGGUUUUUUCUAAAUAGAAAAAAUAACACAAUGGUUUUUUUUACUUUUUAAUACUUAAUAGAAAUAAAAUACUACAAAAACAAACAUCUUAAUAUUUAAUACUAUUAAGUAUUAAGGUUCUAUUUAGAAUUAAGUAAAAAAACAAACACCACCUUAGAAACACAAAGAACAAAGAGAGUAUGAAGAGACCAUACCAUGAGAGAUUUUCCGAAAGGUUGGUAAACCAUGGUAAUCACCUUUGAGUCUUGCUGAGAAAAACAAACCUUAUUUAUUUUUAUUUUUUUAUCAUUUUUUCUCUUGUGUGGUGUACAUUUAAGAAAAACAAAUCUCAAAAAAAAAAAAAAACACAAACCAAAUAAUGCCAGAAUUUGGGUUGAGAAACACCCAAAAGAUAGUGGCCCAAUACAUGUGCCUAAGAAAAUCUUCAUGAGCCGAUAAACAUAGUCACAAAACUAGUAACAGCCUUGUAGCCAUAGUUGGUGUAGUAUGAGCAAGUGGGGUAUGAAGUAGGUAGGUGAGUAUUGCAAUGAAAUUUCCAGCACUGCUUCCUGAAUUAAGAAAUCACAUACCCAAGUCUUAGUCGUCGUCGUCGUCGUACCGUGUGAGAACCGGGAAGAAUCUUUGCUCGUAGACUGGCUUUUGUAGUCUUUCUUUAACAAUUACAAGUUAUCUGAAUUCCCUUCAUCCUCCUAUAUAAUAUUGUUUUGGUCUUGUUCUUGUUGCAUUGUGGCUAGGCAUCUCCAUGGAAGGAAGGAGGAUGAAUCAAGUUCCUUUGUAUGAAUCAAUUUCUCUGCUCUUUUUUUUUUUCAAUCCUUGAAUCGAAUCAUUGCUUAGUUCUUGCUUUAAUUUCUCCAUUUUCUGUUGGGUCUUUGAUUGCAGGUUUAGCUCUGCAAGAGAACUGGGAAAUUUAAUUGUGACCUCCAAUCUAAUCGACUCUGCUUUGACUAAAAUUCUUGAGCUUCAAAGAGACCAAACAGCCUUGCUUUCCCCCGUUCAAUACAGAGUUUUUUUAUCCAUCUCCCAACUGCACAAUUGUAGCUUUUGUCUCUUCACCUGACUGCACUCAAAACCCUCUUCCUGGACAAGGAGAUUUAGUUCCCUCUCCUCUCUUUGACUUCCUCUGCACCGAAGAAUACAAGUCCGUCUCCAUUAACAGAGCUGCAUUAACCCUCUUUACCUCUCUCCACGAUCAUCUCUCUGGACUAAAAACUCAGGUCAAAAUAUGAUAGUUGUUUUUAUUUUCGUUUCCUUUUUGUUAACAAUUGUGAGACAUGAAACAGCUUGACCAUGAGAUCUCUCUCAUAGAGUCAAACUACCUGAAGAAGAAGAAGACGUUACACAUAUCCAUCUGCGUUGCAUCAUCGCAUUACCCAUUGAUCGGUUGUGAUUCAACUCUUAAUAGGAAGACAGUAGAACUGGUGUUGGUAUCUGUUUUUAGAUCAGCUUAUAUGUAUCUUGUUGCUAAAAAGGGAAUGUUUAGAAGUGAGAUUAAUGGGAUUAUUCUGACAUGGAUUUCAUAUGGUUACCUGUUUUGCAGUUGACUGUGAUUGAAGGUCAAUUAAUCAUCACUGGGCACUCCCUGGGAGGAGCCGUUGCUUCUCUCUUCACCUUAUGCCUGCUAGAUGAAAAUUUAUUAAAACCCAAAUGCCGCCCCUUUUGUAUCACCUUUGGUUCACCCCUCGUCGGCGGCUUUGGCCUCCAACACUCCAUAUGGAAUUCUUUCUUCCUGCAUGUAGUGUCUAACCAAGACCCAGUCCCCGGUCUCUUCCUCCCAUCUGGCAGAGGCAGAUCUACGCCCACAUCCUCCCAUUCACAAACUACCGGUUACAAGCCCUUUGGGACAUAUCUCUUGUGCUCUGAACUUGGUUGUGCUUGUUUUGACAACCCUGAUUUAAUUUUGGAAUUGCUGAAAGUCAUAUCAUCAGAGGUUGCCGGAGGAUUGCAGGAUGUUGAUUAUGGGGAGAUUUUAAGAAACCUCAAGGAGAGGGCAAUCUGCAAGGGACUUCCGCAGGUGGGUGAAAGGUUUGCAAAUCCAUUUUCAGCUGGGAUCAUCAUGGAACUUGAGACAAUUGGAUUUAAUCAAACAAAGGUAAACAGCUUUCUCCCAUCUAAUGAUGUUAUGGAACAUGGUUUACACCUCAUUAAAUACUGCAACAACUGCCCUAUUUAGAUUUACCUUCUUGUUCUUUGGGAUUUUCCAUAACUAGACUCAUUUUUUAAUUUCAUGGCAGCUGCUGCAGCAUAACAUUGAUAUCGAGACUGUGAUAAGCGCAAUGGAAGCGGAAGCAAGAAACCUAACCCAGAAAAAUAAAGCUUCCGAUGCCAAGAAACUGAAUGAAAUAAAAAUAGACAUGACCCGGCUAGAAUUGUAUAAGAAGAAUUCGAACAUGGGUUACUACGAUUGCUUCAAAAACCAGGGGUCUAAAAGGGACAUCCACGUUGAACAGUUUAGGGUAAACCUCACAGGGUACUGGGAAGGCAUGGUUGCACAAAUACAGAGGAAGCCUCAUAAGGAAGGAGCAACAUUUCGAACCCGUUGGCUCUAUGCAGGGACGGUUUAUAGAAGAAUGGUUGAACCACUGGACAUUGCUGCCUUCUACAGAGAGGGUAGAAAAGACUACAUGAAUAAAAGAUCUGCACAUUACAAGCUGUUGCAGGAAUGGUAUGAGGAAGAUGUGAAACCCCCCUCUAGAGAUAAGCUUGAUUCCAAGAAGCAAAAGGUGUCCAGUAUCCUAACUGAGGAUUCUUGCUUUUGGGCACAUGUGGAGGAGGCUAUCUUGUCAUGCGAAUUGCUCAAGAGUGAAAACUGUAAUCUUGAGGAGGGAAAAUCAUCAUGGGAUAAUCUGGUUAAGUUCGAGGAGUAUGUAAUGGAACAGAUUGACAACUAUGCAGUGUCCCCUGAGAUUUUCUUGGAGAAAAGCAGCUUCAUGAAAUGGAGGGGACUGUAUGAGGGCUACAUAGAUACUCGCAGUAAUUCCCAUAGCUCGCCAUUGAUCAGCUUUAUGAAGAAUCGUAGUUAUAGACAAUAUGGAUAGAGGGGUAAUCCAGUUUGUGUGUUGUGUGUAUUGUUUUGUGAGCAUUCAAUGGAUAGAACUAGAAAGAGUGUGACCUUUUCCUUUUUUUUUUCAGUUGCUGCCCAUAUUCUCAGCACUAUUUUCUUCCUUCUUUUCCUCAGUUUUUUUGUUAAGAAAUGAAUAUUAUGAUGUUGCCGGGAUGCACUUUCAUUUUUGUUCCAUUACAUUGUGUUUUAUUCAUAUCCUAAACAAAUAAAUGUAAACAAGAAAAUCAAAUGAGACUUCAAAGAGUCUGUUCCUUUUAAAGCAAGGGAAAAAAAGGACAUGUUUGUUUACUUCCACAGCUGGGUAGAUUCAACUCCACCAAAAUUGGCAACAACUUCCCAUUGAAAAAUUCCUUUUAAGCUUGAAUGACAUAAAACUAGAUAUGUUCCAGCUAGAAUGGUACAAGAAAGAAAUCAAAAGAUGAGCACAAUGGGUUAUUAUGACAGCUUUAGAAACCUGGGGUGUAAAAGAGACAUUAAAAUGGAACCGAGGGGAAGACAUUGUAGAACAAGUAAAGAGGAAGCCUCACCAGGAAGGGCAGCUUUGCAAACCCUCUGGCUCUGUACAGGAACGAAUUAUAGAAAGAUGGUUGAACCACUUGACAUUGCUGCCUACCACAGAGAGGGUGGAAGAAACUACAUAACCAAUGGAGGAUGUAAACAUUACACGCUAUUAGAGCAAUGAUGCAAUGAAGAGAAGGGGACUUUGUCUUCCAAUAAUUUAAGAAAAUAAAACCAAAUAAUGCCAGAAUUUGGGUUGAGAAACACCCAAAAGAUAGUGGCCCAAUAUGAAGUAGUCACAAAACUAGUAACAGCCUUGUGGCCAUAGUUGGUGUAGUAUGAGCAAGUGGGGUAUGAAGUAGGUAGGUGAGUAUUGCAAUGAAAUUUCCAGCACUGCUUCCUGAAUUAAGAAAUCACAUACUCAAGUCUUAAUCGUUGUCAUCAUACCGUGUGAGAACCGAGGAAGAAUCUUUGCUCUUAGACUGGAUUUUGUAGUCUUUCUUUAACAAUUACAAGUUAUCUGAAUUCCCUUCAUCCUCCUAUAUAAUAUUGUUUUUGGUCUUGUUCUUGUUGCAUUGUGGCUAGGCAUCUCCAUGGGAGGAAGGAGGAUGAAUCAAGUUCCUUUGUAUGAAUCAAUUUCUCUGCUCUUUUUUUUUUCAAUCCUUGAAUCGAAUCAUUGCUUAGUUCUUGCUUUAAUUUCUCCAUUUUCUGUUGGGUCUUUGAUUGCAGGUUUAGCUCUGCAAGAAAACUGGGAAAUUUAAUUGUGACCUCCAAUCUAAUCGACUCUGCUUUGACUAAAAUUCUUGAGCUUCAAAGAGACCAAACAGCCUUGCCUUCCCCCGUUCAAUACAGAGUUUUUUAUCCAUCUCCCAACUGCACAAUUGUAGCUUUUGUCUCUUCACCUGACUGCACUCAAAACCCUCUUCCUGGACAAGGAGAUUUAGUUCCCUCUCCUCUCUUUGACUUCCUCUGCACCGAAGAAUACAAGUCCGUCUCCAUUAACAGAGCUGCAUUAACCCUCUUUACCUCUCUCCACGAUCAUCUCUCUGGACUAAAAACUCAGGUCAAAAUAUGAUAGUUGUUUUUAUUUUCGUUUCCUUUUUGUUAACAAUUGGGAGACAUGAAACAGCUUGACCAUGAGAUCUCUCUCAUAGAGUCAAACUACCUGAAGAAGAAGAAGACGUUACACAUAUCCAUCUGCGCUGCAUCAUCGCAUUACCCAUUGAUCGGUUGUGAUUCAACUCUUAAUAGGAAGACAGUAGAACUGGUGUUGGUAUCUGUUUUUAGAUCAGCUUAUAUGUAUCUUGUUGCUAAAAAGGGAAUGUUUAGAAGUGAGAUUAAUGGGAUUAUUCUGACAUGGAUUUCAUAUGGUUACCUGUUUUGCAGUUGACUGUGAUUGAAGGUCGAUUAAUCAUUACUGGGUACUCGAUGGGAGGAUCCGUUGCUUCUCUCUUCACCUUAUGCCUGUUAGAAGUCAUCAAUUUAUCAAAACCCAAAUGCCGCCCCAUUUGUAUCACCUUUGGUUCACCCCUCAUAGGCGACUUUGGCCUCCAACACUCCAAUUGGAAUUCUUUCUUCUUGCAUGUAGUGUCCAACCAAGAUCUAGUCCCCGGACUCUUCCUCCCAUCCGACAGAUCUCCUCCCACAUCCUCCCAUUCACAAACUACUGGUUACAAGCCCUUUGGGACAUAUCUCUUGUGCUCUGAACUUGGUUGUGCUUGUUUUGACAACUCUGAUUUAAUUUUGGAAUUGCUGAAAGUCAUAUCAUCAGAGGUUGCCAGAGGAUUGCGGGAUGUUGAUUACAGGAAGAUUUUAAGAAACCUCAAGGAGAGGGCAAUCUGCAAGGGACUUCCGCAGGUGGGUGAAAGGUUUGCAAAUCCAUUUUCAGCUGGGAUCAUCAUGGAACUUGAGACGAUUGGAUUUAAUGAAACAAAGGUAAACAGCUUUCUCCCAUCUACUGAUGUUAUGGAACAUGGUUUACACAUCAUUAAAUACUGCAACAACUGCCCUAUUUAGAUUUAGGGCAAUGAUGAAAAUAUCAGUAAUCACGGAUAUAUCAGUAUUUCGAUUUUACGGAUAUAUCGGAUAUAUCGGAGAUAUAUCGGUAGAUAUUUUGAAAAAAAAUAUCGGCAAGCUUAAAAUUGUUAAAAACUCAUGAAAAUAUAAGAAAAUCUCAUAAUAAUAUAAUUAAAAGUAUAAUAGACAUUUUAAAGUUAUUUUAUUGAAAAUUUUGAUAUAUGUAUAACAUGAUUUAUCAUAUUUGAUAAUAAUAUCGUAUGCGUCGAUAAAAAUAUGAAUUUUAUAAGUGUACAUUUAUUAUUAAAUUACACCUAAUAUUAUGAUAUCUGAUUAUAAUAUGUCUAAUUUUAAAAUAUAUAUUAGUAUUAAAAUAUGAUCCAUUUAAUUCAAUUGUAUUAAACAAUAUAAAAUAAAUAAUGAUAUAUAUAUAUAUAUAUAUAAUUUUUUAAUAUUUAAUUAAUUAUUAAUGAUAUUAAAAACAUUAUGAAGAAAAUUAUAUAAUUUUUUAAUUUUUGGUAAUUAAUUAAAAGACUUUGCAUUUAAUUAUAAAUUAAUUAUAAUUAAUUUACUCUUUAAAAUAUUCUUAUAUUUUCUUUAUAUAAUGAAUUUAAGUAUAUAUAUAGUUGUUGCAUAUUAUAUAUUAAAGGACAACUUAGCCCAAGUGGUAAGCGAGUGAACCCCAAUGUGAGGCAUUGUAGCACGUGCACUGUAGCAUCACUGUAGCGACUCUGACUUUCGUUGACCCGCAUUGACUACACGAUAUAUCGGAGAAAAAUCACUGAUUUAUCGCCAAAUCACCAAUAAAUCGCCGAUUUCUCGCGAUAAAUACCAAAAUAUAGUGUCGAAACCCUUCGAUACACGAUUUUUCGGCGCAUUUUCUUACUUGGAUUUACCUUUUUGUUCUUUGGGAUCUUCCAUGACUCAUUUUUUAAUGCCAUUUUAUUUUCCUUUUUGUUUCUAAAUUUUUAAAAAAUCGUUUUCACUUCUUUUUUUUAAGAAAAUUUUGGCAAAUUUUGAAAAUAUAAUAUUAGUGUUUUCACUUCUUUCUUUUUUUUUUUUUUCUUUUUUUUUUUAAACUCAAUUUUCUAAAAAAUGAAAAUAGAAAAACAUUGUCUAAACAUGUUUGUAAACUUAAUUUUAUUUUUUUAUAAAUGAAAAAAAAAAUCUAAAUGAGUAAGGCUUUAUUAAUUUUAAUUUUUUUCUUUUCCUUAUAUUUUCUUAUUUUAUUCCAAAUUUUCUUGCAACCAAACAUAAUCUAAAUGUUUACAACUUUUAUUGUAAGGAAUGAAUGACACUACUUUGUGAACUUUUAUGAUAAUAUUUUGAAUCAUAAAUUGUGUUUUUUUUAGUAAUAUCAAUUUUAUUACCAAUGACUUAAUUGUUAAUAACAAAAUAUAAUAUUUAUAAAUAUUUUUAUUCUCAACAGGCUACAAUUUUUACUCUUGUGAUAAAAAAAAUUUUGUCAUAAAUUACACAUUAUGAUGAGUUUUUCUAUUUUCCUUAUCAGCCAAUUCAACAAAUAUCAUAUAUAUUGUAAUGGCUAACAAAUUUUCACAUAAAUUUUUUAUAAGAUAAAGUAGAAUGGAAUUAUUCAAUUUCAAAAAAAAAAAAAAUGGUACCUAAUGAAAAAGAUAAAAUAUAUAGAUCAUCUCGAAGAAAUCAGGAAAGAUAAAUGAUGAGACCAUAUAUAGGACCCUUGAUGGAGACUAUUUUAAUUGAAGUGGUGUGCUCCUUCCGACUCAGAACAUGUUCAGCAUUGCACACAAACUAACAUCGUCGAUCUUGAGUAUGAAAAAGGUGAUUAGAUUCCAAGGUUGUCGUUUGUCCCAACUCCUCAUAUUAGAGGUGAUGCUCAAGCUAACGUGCCUCGCAGUUGAGCCCCGGCCAAUCGGUCUAAUAUGCUUUUCCAAUGGUGAGUUUCACUGCCACCAUGUAUUACAUUAAUUCCGAUAGCGCACAAGUUGUGUUUGUGCUAUUGCUUUUUGCCCUCACAAACAUAUACACAAGAGACAUUCAGACCAGAUCUGUUCUACCAUCCUCUAGGAAAGCAUUGUAGGUCAUUUGAAAUUGGGAUUUCAGCACCAGAGUCAAAUUGCCUUCCUUCCUGAAAGAUGAGCAUUUUUUAUACUCUUACAUCGGCUUUUAUGGAAAUGAAAUCAGCUUCUCAUUCUGUUACAUUUUUCAAUUUUGCUGCCUAUAACUGCUCACUGCCUGUUUGUGAGACAUUAUCCAGAUUUUCCCUGAUCAAUUAUAGAGAGGUCAUUGGACUCAUCCAUGAUUGGAAUUUCCUGUUAUCAUUAUUUGCAAAUCAUCAACCAUUUGUCAUGAUAUCUUAAGUUAAGCUGAGCACGAAUUUCAGCUAAGAUCCUCAGAACUAGAAAUAUGCACUGCAGGUAUUACUUGAUAUGUGAAUAUCCAAUACAAUAUUUUUUUACUAAGAGGAAUACGAAUUUGAAACACUUUCCAAUAAUUUAUCAAGUCAUAUUUUCGUGCUGUCGUGAUACAUGUGUCUACUGUAUGCAUGGCUUUUCUUUUCUACACAUGCCUUUAUCUUUGCACAUGACUCUUUUGAUACACGCCAGCAUCAAGGCAAUUGCCUAAAUCUAAAUCACAUCCUUUGUGUCACGUCUUCCUUGUUACCACGGUCCUCUUGUACACCAUGGUCCCUUAAUGUAACUUGUGCCACAAGCCCUUUGUGCAUGAAUUCAAAUUGUUCAAUCAUUUCGCCAUUUACACCUUUUAAGGUCCAAUAAGCGUAUACAAGAGACUACACUCAUUCUAGAUGAUAAAGUACAUUCAACUAACUACUCUUGCUAAUGAGCAUAUCCAAGUCAAUACAUAAGAUUAAUUAUUACAUAUGGUAAUUGAAACCCUGUUUAAAUAAAUAGUGACACAAAUAUAAAAAAUAUAUAUAUUUAAAAAUAAAUAAAUAACAAUUUAGAGAAUUUCAUAACUUAGUAUCAAACCUAUUGUAGGAAAGAGUAUUAUACAAUGUAGGGUUUAGGAUCAAAGUUAACCUAAGAUCAAUUUUAAGUUUUAAGACCAAUUCAAAUUCAAAACUAAGGUUUUAAGUUUCAAAAAUAUAUCUCUUAAACCAAUUAAAUAGAAAAAAGAAAAUUACAAAGAAAAUUUCUUCCUCAUCGGUUUCUUUUAUCUUGAAAACUAAAGGAAAUAUAUAUCAAUAUUUGAGAUGGAAAUUCAUAAUCUUAGAAACACAAAGAACAAAGAGAGUAUGAAGAGACCAUACCAUGAGAGAUUUUCCAAAAGGUUGGUAAACCAUGGUAAUCACCUUUGAGUUUUGCUGAGAAAAACAAACCUUAAUUUUUAUUUUUAUUUUUUUAUCAUUUUUUCUCUUGUGGUGUACAUUUAAGAAAAACAAAUCUUAAAAAAAAAAAAAAAAAAACCAAAUAAUGCCAGAAUUUGGGUUGAGAAACACCCAAAAGAUAGUGGCCCAAUACAUGUGCCUAAGAAAAUCUUCAUGAGCCGAUAAACAUAGUCACAAAACUAGUAACAGCCUUGUAGCCAUAGUUGGUGUAGUAUGAGCAAGUGGGGUAUGAAGUAGGUAGGUGAGUAUUGCAAUGAAAUUUCCAGCACUGCUUCCUGAAUUAAGAAAUCACAUACCCAAGUCUUAGUCGUCGUCGUCGUACCGUGUGAGAACCGGGAAGAAUCUUUGCUCGUAGAGUGGCUUUUGUAGUCUUUCUUUAACAAUUACAAGUUAUCUGAAUUCCCUUCAUCCUCCUAUAUAAUAUUGUUUUUGGUCUUGUUCUUGUUGCAUUGUGGCUAGGCAUCUCCAUGGAAGGAAGGAGGAUGAAUCAAGUUCCUUUGUAUGAAUCAAUUUCUCUGCUCUUUUUCUUUUCAAUCCGUGAAUCGAAUCAUUGCUUAGUUCUUGCUUUAAUUUCUCCAUUUUCUGUUGGGUCUUUGACUGCAGGUUUAGCUCUGCAAGAGAACUGGGAAAUUUAAUGGUGACCUCCAAUCUAAUCGACUCUGCUUUGACUAAAAUUCUUGAGCUUCAAAGAGACCAAACAGCCUUGCUUUCCUCCGUUCAAUACAGAGUUUUUUAUCCAUCUCCCAAGUGCACAAUUGUAGCUUUUGUCUCUUCACCUGACUGCACUCAAAACCCUCUUCCUGGACAAGGAGAUUUAGUUCCGUCUCCUCUCUUUGACUUCCUCUGCACCGAAGAAUACAAGUCCGUCUCCAUUAACAGAGCUGCAUUAACCCUCUUUACCUCUUUCCACGAUCAUCUCUCUGGACUAAAAACUCAGGUCAAAAUAUGAUAGUUGUUUUUAUUUUCGUUUCCUUUUUGUUAACAAUUGUGAGACAUGAAACAGCUUGACCAUGAGAUCUCUCUCAUAGAGUCAAACUACCUGAAGAAGAAGAAGACGUUACACAUAUCCAUCUGCGUUGCAUCAUCGCAUUACCCAUUGAUCGGUUGUGAUUCAACUCUUAAUAGGAAGACAGUAGAACUGGUGUUGGUAUCUGUUUUUAGAUCAGCUUAUAUGUAUCUUGUUUCUAAAAAAGGUAAGUUUAGAAGUGAGAUUAAUGGGAUUAUUCUGACAUGGAUUCCAUAUGGUUACCUGUUUUGCAGUUGACUCAGAUUGAAGGUCAAUUAAUCAUCACUGGGCACUCCCUGGGAGGAUCCGUUGCUUCUCUCUUCACCUUAUGCCUGCUAGAUGGAAAUUUAUUAAAACCCAACUGCCGCCCCUUUUGUAUCACCUUUGGUUCACCCCUCAUCGGCGGCUUUGGCCUCCAACACUCCAUAUGGAAUUCUUUCUUCCUGCAUGUAGUGUCUAACCAAGACCCAGUCCCCGGUCUCUUCCUCCCAUCUGGCAGAGGCAGAUCUACGCCCACAUCCUCCCAUUCACAAACUACCGGUUACAAGCCCUUUGGGACAUAUCUCUUGUGCUCUGAACUUGGUUGUGCUUGUUUGGAAAAGCCUGAUUUAAUUUUGGGAUUGCUGAAAGUCAGAUCAUCCGAGGUUGCCGGAGGAUUGCAGGAUGUUGAUUAUGGGGAGAUUUUAAGAAACCUCAAGGAGAGGGCAAUCUGCAAGGGACUUCAGCAGGUGGGUGAAAGGUUUGCAGAUCCUUUUACAGCUGGGAUCAUCAUGGACCUUGAGAUAAUUGGAUUUGAUCAAACAAAGGUAAACAGCUAGCUUUCUCCCAUCUAAUGAUGUUAUGAAACAUGGUUUACACUUCACCAAAUACUGCAACAACUGCCCUAUUUAGAUUUGCCGUCUUGUUCUUUGGGAUCUUCCAUAACUAGACUCAUUUUUUAAUUUCAUGGCAGCUGCUGCAGCAUAACAUUGAUAUCGAGACUGUGAUAAGCACAAUGGAAGAGGAAGCCAGAAACCCAACCAAAAAAAAUAAAGCUUUCGAUGCCAAGAUUCUGAAUCACAAAAAAAAAGACAUGGCCGGGCUAGAAUGGUAUAAGAAGAAAUCAAAAGAUCUGAACAAGGGUUACUACGACUGCUUCAAAAACCAGGGGUCAAAAAGGGACAUUAAAAUUGAACAGUAUGGGGGACACCUCACAUUAUACUGGAAAGACAUGGUUGCACAAGUACAGAGGAAGCCCCAGAAGGAAGGAGCAACAUUUCGAACCCGUUGGCUCUAUGCAGGGACGGUUUAUAGAAGAAUGGUUGAACCACUGGACAUUGCUGCCUUCUACGUAGAGGGUGGAACAGACUACAUGAAGAAUGAAAGAUCUCUUCAUUACAAGCUGUUGCAGCAAUGGUAUGAGGAAGAUGUGAAACCCCCCUCUAAGGAUAAGCUUGAUUCCAAGAAGCAAAAGGUGUCUGGUAUCCUAACUGAGGAUUCUUGCUUUUGGGCACAUGUGGAGGAGGCUAUCUUGUCAUGCGAAUUGCUUAAGAGUGAAAACUGUACUCUUGAGCAGGAAAAAUCAUCAUGGGAUAAUCUGGUUAAGUUCGAGGAGUAUGUAAUGGAACAGAUUAACAACUAUGCAGUGUCCCCUGAGAUUUUCUUGGGGGAAAGCAGCUUCAUGAAAUGGUGGGGACUGUAUGAGGGCUACAUAUAUGCUCGCAGUAAUUCCCAUAGGUCACCAUUGAUCAGCUUUAUGAAGAACGGUAGUUAUACAGAGUAUCGUUAGAGGGGUAAUCCAGUUUGUGUGUUGUGUGUAUUGUUUUGUGAGCAUUCAAUGGAUAGAACUAGAAAGAGUGUGACCUUUUUCCUUUUUUUCUUCUAGUUGCUGCCCAUAUUCUCAGCACUAUUUUCUUCCUUCUUUUCCUCAGUUUUUUCUUAAGAAAUGAAUAUUAUGAUGUUGCUGGGAUGCACUUUCAUUUUUGUUCCAUUACAUUGUGUUUUAUUCAUAUCCUAAACAAAUAAAUGUAAACAAGAAAAUCAAAUAAGACUUCAAAGAGUCUGUUCCUUUUAAAGCAAGGGAAAAAAAGGACAUGUUUGUUUACUUCCACAGCUGGGUAGAUUCAACUCCACCAAAAUUGGCAACAACUUCCCAUUGAAAAAUUCCUUCUAAGCUUGAAUGACAUAAAACUAGAUAUGUUCCAGCUAGAAUGGUACAAAAAAGAAAUCAAAAGAUGAGCACAAUGGGUUAUUAUGACAGCUUUAGAAACCAUCUUACAACACAUCCAUCAGAAUUUAGACUAUUCAUAGAAACAUUCUUAACAUGUAAAUCUACUAUUGCCAUGCACGUCAACAUAGAAUUUCUAAAAUGAUUGAAUAAAAUAAAUAAAACAAAAGAAACCCUUCCAAGAGAAUUUCAUAAUCUAAUGUCAAAUCUAUUACGAAGAUGAACAUGUAAAAUUUAAGGUUUAUAAUCAAAGUCGACUUGAAUCUGAGUUUUAAAACCAAUUUGCAGUUUUUAAGUUUGGAGACUAGAUCUCUUAAACCAAUUAAAUGUAAAAAACUAAAAAGAAAACUUCUUCAAAUUUUGAAAUGAGAAUGAGAAUGCAAUUCCUAACUAGUUUCUUCAUCAAAAAUCCCGAAAAAAAAAAAAAAAGAAGAGAGAGAGAGACCAUAGACGCCAGUGUUUGGGUUUAGAACCACCCAAGAGAGAGUAGUCCAAUAUAUGGGCUUAAGAAAAUCCUCAUGGGCCUAAGCUAAGACUAGGAACAAUCUUGUAUCCGUGGUUGGUUUAGUAUGAGCAUGUGUACUGCGAAGGAAGUAGCUGAGAAUUGCAAUGGAAUUUCCAGUACUGCUUCCUGAACGAACAAAUCGCAUACCCAAGAUUUGGUCGUCAACGCCAUGCUGGGUGAGAACCGGGGAAGCAUCUUCGCUCGUUGACGAGCUUUUGUAGUCCUUCUUUAACAAUUAUAAGGCAUCUGAAUUCCCUUCAUCCUCCCACACCAUUGUUUUUGGUCUUGUUCUUGUUGCUUUGUGACUACGCAUCUCCAUGGAAGGAAGGAGGAUGAACCAAGUUCCUUUGUAUGCAUCAAUUUUACUGUUUUUUUUUUCCUUUUUAAUCUUUGGAUCGAAUCAUUGCUUAGUUCUUGCUUAAUUUCUCCAUUUUAUGUUGGGUCUUUGAUUGCAGGUUUAGCUCUGCGCGAGAACUGGGAAAUUUAAUUGUGACCUCCAAUCUAAUCGACUCUGCUUUGACUAAAAUUCUUGAGCUUCAAAGAGACCAAACAGCCUUGCCUUCCCCCGUUCAAUACAGAGUUUUUUAUCCAUCUCCCAAGUGCACAAUUGUAGCUUUUGUCUCUUCACCUGACUGCACUCAAAACCCUCUUCCUGGACAAGGAGAUUUAGUUCCCUCUCCUCUCUUUGACUUCCUCUGCACCGAAGAAUACCCUUCCGUCUCCAUUAACGGAGCCGCAUUAACCCUCUUUACCUCUCUCUACGAUCAUCUCUCUGGACUAAUAGAUGAGGUCAAAAUCUGAUACUUGUUUUAAUUUACGUUAACUUUUCGUUAACAAUUGUGAGACACGUAUAUAUAUAUAUAUAUAUAUAUAUCUUGUGGAUAAAAGGAAAGUUUACAAGUGAGAAUAGUGGCAUUUUUCUGACAGAUUUCACACCGUUGCUUGUUUUGCACUUGACUGUGAUUGAAGGUCGAUUAAUCAUCACUGGGCACUCGAUGGGAGGAUCCGUUGCUUCUCUCUUCACCUUAUGCCUGCUAGAAGUCAUUAAUAUAUCAAAACCCAAAUGCCGCCCCAUUUGCAUCACAUUUGGUUCACCCCUCAUAGGCGACUUUGGCUUCCAACACUCCAAUUGGA
RNAcentral lists this long non-coding RNA (17273 nucleotides) under Vitis vinifera (wine grape). RNAcentral describes it as "long non-coding RNA (VVIN_LNC004863)". Lineage: Eukaryota; Viridiplantae; Streptophyta; Magnoliopsida; Vitales; Vitaceae. The record is from RNAcentral.